Molecule: long non-coding RNA, 502 nt
Organism: Mangifera indica (mango)
Lineage: Eukaryota; Viridiplantae; Streptophyta; Magnoliopsida; Sapindales; Anacardiaceae
Exons: 2
Source: RefSeq, a predicted model, not a curated record
AAAUCAUAAGUGGCAAAAGGAUUUCCUCUUCAUAUGGUCCAAAUGAAAGUUUAAGCCUUAUUGACUAUGCAUAUGAAUUGUGGAAUCAUGGUAAAACCACUGAAUUGAUGGAUGAAACGCUAGACGAUACAUCUUCAUCAUGUAAAUUAACAAGAUGCUCACAUAUAGCUUUGUUAUGUGUCCAAGAAAAUCCAAUGGAUAGGCCAUCCAUGCUGGAUGUUUUUUCUAUGCUCAAAACUGAAACUCUAGAUAUGAUGAUACCACAAAAGCCUACUUUCUUGAAACAAAAUAAAUCUGCAGGAAUAAACUUGGAAGGUCAUUCAGUGAGUACAUCAUCAAUUAAUGAUAUAACAGUUUUGGAUAUUUCAGCUAAUUGAAUUAUAAAUAUUAGUCUGCUAUUCUCUCAAGUUGGACAUGAUCAAUUCCUUCUCGUUGUAGUUUCUUUACUAUUAGAAAUCAUAAUUUUGUAUAUUAUAGUUGACUAGUGAAAUAAUUACUUGUU